UACGGAGGAUGCGAGCGUUAUCCGGAUUUAUUGGGUUUAAAGGGUGCGUAGGCGGGCUUUUAAGUCAGCGGUAAAAAUUCGGGGCUCAACCCCGUCCGGCCGUUGAAACUGGGGGUCUUGAGUGGGCGAGAAGAAGGCGGAAUGCGUGGUGUUGCGGUGAAAUGCAUAGAUAUCACGCAGAACCCCGAUUGCGAAGGCAGCCUUCCGGCGCCCUACUGACGCUGAGGCACGAAAGUGCGGGGAUCGAACAGG
This 252-nucleotide ribosomal RNA is filed under the name uncultured bacterium. Its description in RNAcentral is "partial 16S ribosomal RNA". It matches the Rfam family "Bacterial small subunit ribosomal RNA", at positions 524 to 776 of the family's 1533-position model. The record is from RNAcentral.